CCUCCAGGACCGAGAGCUCACCUGCUGGGAGGAGGUGGCCCAGAGUGGGGAGAUCCCCCCAUCUUGCUGCAACUUCCCCGUGGCUGUGUGCCGGGACAAGAUGUUUGUAUUCUCUGGGCAAAGCGGAGCCAAAAUAACCAACAACCUCUUCCAGUUUGAAUUCAAGGACAAGACGUGAGUACUCUGGCCAGUGGGGUGGAGGGAGGACGGUCAGUUCCCUCGAAUCCUUCUGAAUAUGAAGAACGCCCCUUGCACCUGGUGGCCAUGGUAACCAUCCUUCUGAGCUCUGCAAACAGCAGGAGGUUACAGCCCGGAGCAGGGAUGUGCGGUGCCCCUGGCAGGUCCCCAGGAUAUGGCUACAGCUUAGCAAGAUAAGGCCUGGCGAGGAGGCCCCUGGCUAGGCCUUCCUCUGAAUGUGAAGGACGUCCCCUUCCUCAUGAAUAGCUUGGUCAGUGCCACCAGUAACAGAUGUGGCCUGCAUAGAUCUCAAAUAAUGGCAGAAGACCAGAGGGGCCUGCAGGUCCUGAGAGGUCUGGCCCAUGCUGCCCCGGGCUGCUGGCCAGCCCUUGAUCCCUGCAAUGGGGCUUCAGGAGAGGGCACAAGGAGUGUGAGCUGCAGGUGGACACGCAUCCCAACUGAACACCUGCUCCGGGGCUCCCCACCACCCCCGCAGCGGCGCUACGGGCAUACCAUGGUGGCCUUUGACCGCCACCUCUAUGUGUUUGGGGGUGCGGCCGACAACACGCUGCCCAACGAGCUGCACUGCUAUGACGUGGACUUCCAGACCUGGGAGGUCGUCCAGCCCAGCUCCGACAGCGAGGUUGGUGGGGCUGAAGUGCCCGAGCGAGCCUGUGCUUCCGAGGAGGUGCCCACCCUGACUUAUGAGGAGCGGGUUGGCUUCAAGAAGUCCCGAGAUGUGUUCGGCCUGGACUUUGGCACCACCUCAGCCAAGCAGCCCACCCAGCCUGCCUCAGAGCUGCCCAGCGGGAGGCUCUUCCACGCAGCUGCUGUCAUCUCGGACGCCAUGUACA
RNAcentral lists this small RNA (1031 nucleotides) under Pan troglodytes (chimpanzee). RNAcentral's name for it is "processed transcript". The record is from RNAcentral. Lineage: Eukaryota; Metazoa; Chordata; Mammalia; Primates; Hominidae.